This 31-nucleotide non-coding RNA is filed under the name Mus musculus (house mouse). The record is from RNAcentral. Lineage: Eukaryota; Metazoa; Chordata; Mammalia; Rodentia; Muridae.
UCCAGUGACCACGAAACUAUAAGGAGCAAGA